GACGAACGCUGGCGGCGUGCCUAAUACAUGCCAGUAGAACGCACAGUUUAUACCGUAGCUUGCUACACCAUAGACUGUGAGUUGCGAACGGCUGAGUAACGCGUAGGUUACCUGCCUGGUAGCGGGUGAUAACUAUUGGAAACGAUAGCUAAUACCGCAUAAUCUUGAUUAUUGCAUGAUAAUUGAUUGAAAGAUGCUAUUGCAUCACUACCAGAUGGACCUGCGUUGUAUUAGCUAGUAGGUGAGGUAACGGCUCACCUAGGCCAAGAUACAUAGCCGACCUGGUGGGGUGGUCGGCCCCACUGGGACGGGGACACGGCCCAGACUCCCUCGGGGGGGAGCAAGAGGGAAACUUCGGCAAUGGAGGAAAGUCUGACCGAGCAACGCCGCGUGAGGUAAGAAGGUUCUCGGGUCGUAAAGCUCUGUUGUAAGGGAAGAACGGGUGUGAGAGUGGAAAGUUCACACUGUGACGGUAUCUUACCAGAAAGGGACGGCUAACUACGUG
This 505-nucleotide ribosomal RNA is filed under the name uncultured bacterium. Its description in RNAcentral is "partial 16S ribosomal RNA". It matches the Rfam family "Bacterial small subunit ribosomal RNA", at positions 28 to 507 of the family's 1533-position model. The record is from RNAcentral.